CGUGAGGAUGGCAUCAUUUCACNUUAAAGUCACAACGGCAAAAGAUGAGCAUGCGUCCCAUUAGCUAGUUGGUAAGGUAACGGCUUACCAAGGCUACGAUGGUAGGGGUCCUGAGAGGGAGAUCCCCCACACUGGUACUGAGACACGGACCAGACUCCUACGGGAGGCAGCAGUGAGGAAUAUUGGACAAUGGGCGCAAGCCUGAUCCAGCCAUGCCGCGUGCAGGAUGACGGUCCUAUGGAUUGUAAACUGCUUUUGUACAGGAAGAAACACUACUUCGUGAAGUAGCUUGACGGUACUGUAAGAAUAAGGAUCGGCUAACUCCGUG
Molecule: ribosomal RNA, 328 nt
Filed under: uncultured bacterium
Lineage: Bacteria
Description: bacterial SSU rRNA
Rfam family: Bacterial small subunit ribosomal RNA
Source: RNAcentral